AACGAACGCUGGCGGCAUGCCUAACACAUGCAAGUCGAACGAGACCUUCGGGUCUGGUGGCGCACGGGUGCGUAACGCGUGGGAACCUGCCCUUAGGCUCGGAAUAAAUCCCCGAAAGGGGUGCUAAUACCGGAUAAUGUCCUCGGACCAAAGAUUUAUCGCCUUUGGAUGAGCCUGCGUUGGAUUAGCUGGUUGGUAGGGUAAAAGCCUACCAAGGGGACGAUCCAUAGCUGGUCUGAGAGGAUGAGCAGCCACACUGGGACUGAGACACGGCCCAGACUCCUACGGGAGGCAGCAGUGGGGAAUAUUGGACAAUGGGCGAAAGCCUGAACCAGCAAGGCCGCGUGAGUGAUGAAGGCCUUAGGGUUGUAAAGCGCUUUUACCCGGGAUGAUAAUGACAGUACCGGGAGAAUAAGCUCCGGCUAACUCCGUG
RNAcentral lists this ribosomal RNA (433 nucleotides) under uncultured bacterium. RNAcentral's name for it is "partial 16S ribosomal RNA". It matches the Rfam family "Bacterial small subunit ribosomal RNA", at positions 29 to 507 of the family's 1533-position model. The record is from RNAcentral.